UGGCCUGCAGCAGGAGGAGCUGGGCCCGAUGGCCUUUUUGGUCUCUUCCAACUCUGCUAUUCUGUAAU
Long non-coding RNA from Varanus komodoensis (Komodo dragon), 68 nucleotides. RefSeq lists it as uncharacterized. The transcript is spliced from 3 exons. The record is from RefSeq and is a predicted model, not a curated record. Lineage: Eukaryota; Metazoa; Chordata; Lepidosauria; Squamata; Varanidae.